UACGUAGGGGGCGAGCGUUGUCCGGAUUUAUUGGGCGUAAAGAGCUCGUAGGCGGUUUGGCAAGUCGGGUGUGAAACCUCCAGGCUCAACCUGGAGUCGCCACCCGAUACUGCUAUGACUUGAGUCUGGUAGGGGAUCACGGAAUUCCUGGUGUAGCGGUGAAAUGCGCAGAUAUCAGGAAGAACACCCGUGGCGAAAGCGGCUCUCUAGAACGGUACUGACGCUGAGACGCGAAAGCGUGGGGAGCGAACAGG
This 254-nucleotide ribosomal RNA is filed under the name uncultured bacterium. Its description in RNAcentral is "partial 16S ribosomal RNA". It matches the Rfam family "Bacterial small subunit ribosomal RNA", at positions 524 to 776 of the family's 1533-position model. The record is from RNAcentral.